UUACAAUUAUUGAUACACUAUUAUACAAAAUAGUGAGGACUACUAAAAAAAUUAUCCUGAACCAUCACUCCAUACCCCUGCUAGAUCCUGCUAUGUUCUCACCUCCUGAGAAGAAAAAUGGAAUAAAAAGGAAAAGGGUGAGCUCAACUAGCCCAGUAAAGAAUAUUAUGACUAAGAUAAUAUACAACAAAUUAUCAAUAGUCUUCAACAAGGAAAAAUCUGAUAGAAUAUAAUAGACAACAAGUUUUAGAUCAAUAACUGCAGCGAAAACAGCAAUCCAUUAGAAGAGUAAAGUAGAGAAAGAAUUCUACUAUCUUCUAAGAUUUAAAAGUUCAUCAUCAAUAUUUUAUCCCUGCAACAUCAAUCAAUAUACGUGACACCCCUAAAUCCGGGUAAUUAAUUUCCACAGUAUUUGGUAUUCACUGUCCAAACAUCAUGUAUCUAUCUACCCAUAAUAAAUGAAAACCAUAAAUAGAUAGAAAUAAAUCCUCUCCUUAUGGAGUUACAACAUCUAAAAAUAAAUACAUCAAUCCCAGGUCAUACUAACCUUAAAUCUCAAAUGCAGAAACAUAAAUAAAUAUUAAGUCUUACACAACUUAAACAUAAGUCUGAAACAUAACAUAACAAAUAAACAACAAGCCUUCAUCACUUGUUAACUUUGCCCUUGCCUUUACUUGAAGAAGGCUCGUCGAACCUUUCGUUCUUAACUGCAAUGUUAUUAUUACGCAAGAGUAAGCACGAUUGCCCACAAGUAUACUAAUAUAACAAUAAAAUAAUAACAUGUGAAUGAAUCAAUAACUUCUGAAAUAAGAAAACUUGGCUUUUGAAUCAAGAAUGAAUAACAAGAAUCAAAAGAACUUCUAAGGGACAUUAGACCUUGAACUACGUCCUAGGUUGUCAAAUAUUUAUACUUGAAACCUUUAAUAGUCAUAAGACUAUGGACUCUUCUUCUCGUACUUAGGGGGAUCAGCCCUUAGUACCAUAUUGUGCACAAUAUCUUAACGCCAUUAUUAAUCCCCUAUAACAGGGUUGUUCAUCUCAGUUUGACAUUAGAGUCCGCACCAAAGGAAGUUUGGUUUGGAUAAGCUCAACAAGGAUUCUGAAAUUUAGAACGUUCAUCAACUAUGGACUAGUCGAAUCAAUAAGGGUUUGCUAGUCUUACAAGGUUCAACAAUAAUUGAUAUUCAAUUUGAAUAAUAAAGUUCAAGAUGUAUACAAUCGAAUAAGUAUUGUAUAGCAGGAAUCAUGCGUUUUAAAGAAUGAUAACAUCUAAUAUGAAAUCUUGACUUGAACAAUAAUAAACAAGAUAGAAUAAGGAACUUCCUUUAUGUAAAGAAACAAGGUUUAGGAACUUGCCUCGUGCAUAGGCUAAACGAUUACUACUUCCGUUCACCACAAAUCCUACACACAUACCAUAUGUAUUCACGACAUUCAUUAGAUACAUUUUCACUUAAUUAUUUAAUAUAAACUCCACUUUAUUUAACGAAUCAUUACCCUUCUAAUUUAAUUAAUUAAUUAAAUUAGAAUAUUUUCAUUNNNNN
This 1541-nucleotide long non-coding RNA is filed under the name Panax ginseng (ginseng). Its description in RNAcentral is "long non-coding RNA (PGIN_LNC005159)". The record is from RNAcentral. Lineage: Eukaryota; Viridiplantae; Streptophyta; Magnoliopsida; Apiales; Araliaceae.